UUCCCAUAUUUUAGUGCCUUUUUAAGGAACACACAUGCAUACAAAGGGUAGUCCUUUUCAUAUCCCCAAUUUUUCACAUCUCCAUUAUCAUUUCAUUAUUCAUUUCUGUCUUACAUAAUCUGCAGCUUAGUCAAUUCUUUUGGUUUUAAGGUGGGAAGACCUGCCUGUGUCUGUAUCCCUGGGGCUCCUCUAAACCUGCCGGUUUGUGAGAUGAUUUCAUGGUUUCUUUUACAUGUAUCAAAUGUCUACCCUACAAAGAACUGGAUGGAGUUAACAGCUGAGCAAAGAUGAGAGAGGAACCUACUUUCAUUUGGGAAAAACAGGACCAUACCAUGUGUACAAGACAGAAAUUUCUACAGAUGCUUUACGAAAGAAAAAAUAUCUUACCAAAGUUAUUACUGCACUUUCAGCAGUUAGCUGUGUGGCACUACAAAGAGCAUGAACAAAUCUGUAAAUGAAUUUGUGUUCAGGAUCAUGCUCGAAGUAUUCCUCUGGAACCUUUUCUCGCUGAAAGGAGAAAAAAUGCAAUUUAUGUAUCCAUGGAAGAAAAAUACUUAAAAGUACCCUUAAGAUAGCAGUCUUCACACUUGGGCCCACGUGCCCCUUAAAAUAAUUUUGGUUGGGUGACAUGUCUUGUAGUCUUUUAAAUAUAAACAAUGGGAUCCUAAAAUACCACAGUGAUCCAGUACUCACCACCAUUCAUUAAAGAAAAAUACAGGCACAACCGCAGAAAAUUUAUGUAUUUCCACGUUCCUCCCCACAGAAUUCGAACCAAAUGUAAACUAUUGGGUUGGCCAAAAAGUUCAUUUGGUUUUAAGUAAAAAUAAAAGACACAGUUUUCAUUUUCACCAAGCAUUUUAUUGAACAAUAUAUUCACUAACCAAACAAACUUUUUGGCCAACCCAAUAUUUUUAGGCUCAAAAGUCUUGCUGAUCACCAUAUGUCAUACUUUUCUGUAAUCAACUUUGAAAACACAUUUCCAGUGUCCUGUAACCAUAAGGCUCGAAGAAUGUGCUGUCCUGUACAGCAGUCGCCAGCCACGUGUGGCUACAGAGCACCCGAAGAAGUGAAUUUUAAAACUUUGUCAUUUUAAUUCGUUUAAAAUUUAAACAGUUUUCUAAUUUUCUUCUUAGAGGCCUUAUCAUAUUAGGUUUAUUUACAAAUAUUUAUAUUGUUUGAUGCUAUGGAAAAUCAUCCUUUAAAAAGAUACAUUUUCUGUUACUUGGGUAUGUUUACUUACCUGCUCACUAUUCAUACAAAGUGCAACUCGGUUCAUAUCCAUCAACCCCUUAUACAACACGCCUUCGGGAAAAUGACUAGACACAACAUGGCGUGGGGAAGAAGACUUAAAGGAAGAUGAAUUUGACUUCGAGCUGGAGGAAGUAAUUUUCUUCUAGUACUUAAUUUCAAAGCAAAUCAGCAUGAAAUAAACACAACUGUAUAAGAGAAAAAUACCACUUCAAUAAAACUGACACUUACUGUGAGUGGAUGUAAUCUCUCAUCAAAAAUAUCCAAGGAUCUAUCUGCAUCUCUAUAAAAUAAGAAUGUGCAUUUAAAAAAUUAAUUCAGGAGUUACUAUCUUAGUAAAAUAUCUGCUAGGAGUAGAGAGAGGGGUAGAGGAAGCUUAACCUUCAACAAAGCAAACAGUUUUAUAAAUUCUUCUCCUGGAUUCCACCCUUAGAAAGGUUUCCUGACCUAUUUUUACUCAGCACAUCAAGUUCCGUGAAAUCUUUUCUACAACAACCAGCCAGAGUUGCCUCUAUAAGCACUGACCCUCCCUAACAGGCAAUGCUAGUAAACCAAUAUAUUUUCACUCCUCUAACCUCACACUGGAAUAUGCAAGAACAUUUUAUAAAGCAGUGGUGGUGGGCAAUAAAUUCUUCUAACUUCAA
Balaenoptera acutorostrata (minke whale) is the source of this 1892-nucleotide long non-coding RNA. RefSeq lists it as uncharacterized. The transcript has 2 exons. The record is from RefSeq and is a predicted model, not a curated record. NCBI's taxonomy places the organism in Eukaryota, Metazoa, Chordata, Mammalia, Artiodactyla, Balaenopteridae.